AGGGGCAAUAAAUCCCACCUUAUGCAUUCUAUACCUAUUAACUUUUUUUUGAUGUCAUAGGUCUGGAGCAAAGCCCCAACACCAAGCCCAGACUGAAAUUCUUCACUUCACUGAGGGAUCAAAACAUCACAUCUAUCUCUAAAGGGCUGAUUUACUGACAUAAUGAGUGCAAUGGAGAUUAGAUUCAAAGAAUUCCUGGAUCACAUUUUUCUCCCUUGGUUGCAACAUAUACAGUCUAGAAGUAUGCUUAAUUUGGAGUCUGUACGCAUCACAUGAUGUGGUAUUGACAAUCAGAAACAGUGAAUCAAAAUGGUAAACACUGAACUCUUGGACUGUCUUCUGAAAUCACCAGUUGUUGUCUUGGUGGAUUUUUGUUGCUGACUUGUCCUCUAUAAAUUGGGUAAAGGCCUUCAACCUGCUUCAAAUUUGUACCAAGCAGUUAAGAUGGUAACAAAGAUGCUAUUGAGAUGGUAGUGAAUUGCUGUCAGUACAUCACGUAUCAUACUCAAGUCAAAGCUUGGCUGUUUCUAGUCUUCAGCUGCACAGCCACUCGAUGAUCAAAGCAAAAUGUUUCCUUUCAUUUAUUCAUGCCUUUUUUAAAUAAUUCAAUGAAAAUGACACUUUGUAUUUGUUUUGUCUAGCCAAUAAAUCCAUGCUUUACAAAAA
This 666-nucleotide long non-coding RNA is filed under the name Manacus vitellinus (golden-collared manakin). RNAcentral's name for it is "lncRNA (ENSMVIG00005005108.1)". Lineage: Eukaryota; Metazoa; Chordata; Aves; Passeriformes; Pipridae. The record is from RNAcentral.